This 253-nucleotide ribosomal RNA is filed under the name uncultured bacterium. Its description in RNAcentral is "partial 16S ribosomal RNA". It matches the Rfam family "Bacterial small subunit ribosomal RNA", at positions 524 to 776 of the family's 1533-position model. The record is from RNAcentral.
UACGUAGGGACCAAGCGUUGUUCGGAUUUACUGGGCGUAAAGGGCGCGUAGGCGGCUUGUCAAGUCACUUGUGAAAUCUCUGGGCUUAACCCAGAACGGCCAAGUGAAACUGACAUGCUAGAGUGCAGAAGGGGCAAUCGGAAUUCUUGGUGUAGCGAUGAAAUGCGUAGAUAUCAAGAGGAACACCUGAGGUGAAGACGGGUUGCUGGGCUGACACUGACGCUGAGGCGCGAAAGCCAGGGGAGCAAACGGG